This 423-nucleotide ribosomal RNA is filed under the name uncultured archaeon. Its description in RNAcentral is "bacterial SSU rRNA". It matches the Rfam family "Archaeal small subunit ribosomal RNA", at positions 322 to 747 of the family's 1478-position model. The record is from RNAcentral.
CCUACGGGUGGCAGCAGGCGCGAAAACUCCGCAAUGCGCGAAAGCGCGACGGGGUCACCCCGAGUGCCGUCCGCUGAGGGCGGCUUUUGCCUGGUUUAACCAGCCGAGUGAAUAAGGGGAGGGCAAGUCUGGUGUCAGCCGCCGCGGUAAUACCAGCUCCUCGAGUGGUUGGGACGAUUAUUGGGUCUAAAGCGUCCGUAGCCGGCCGGAAAAGUUCUCCGUUAAAUCCGAUGAUCCAAUCGUCGGGCUGCGGGGAAUACUCUUCGGCUUGGGGGCGAGGGAGGUCGGCGGUAGUCUCGGGGUAGGGGCGAAAUCCUAUAAUCCCGAGAGGACCACCAGUGGCGAAGGCGGCCGACUAAAGCGCGCCCGACGGUGAGGGACGAAAGCUGGGGGAGCGAACGGGAUUAGAUACCCCAGUAGUCC